AUUGAACGCUGGCGGCACGCCUAACACAUGCAAGUCGAGCGGCAGCGAGAGUAGUAGCAAUACUACUUGUCGGCGAGCGGCGGACGGGGGAGGAACACGUAGGAAUCUACCCAGAAGAGGGGGAUAACCAAGGGAAACUUUGGCUAAUACCGCAUAAUCUCGAGAGAGAAAAGCUGCCCGUAAGGGUGGCGCUUUUGGAGGAGCCUGCGUCCGAUUAGCUAGUUGGUAGGGUAAAGGCCUACCAAGGCGAUGAUCGGUAACUGGUCUGAGAGGACGACCAGUCACGCUGGGACUGAGACACGGCCCAGACUCCUACGGGAGGCAGCAGUGGGGAAUAUUGGACAAUGGGGGCAACCCUGAUCCAGCGAUGCCGCGUGAGUGAAGAAGGCCUUCGGGUCGUAAAGCUCUUUAGGUUGGGAAGAAGGGUGCGAGGGUAAUAUCCUUGUACUUUGACGGUACCGACAGAAUAAGCACCGGCAAACUCUGUGCCAGCCGCCGCAGUAA
This 504-nucleotide ribosomal RNA is filed under the name uncultured bacterium. Its description in RNAcentral is "partial 16S ribosomal RNA". It matches the Rfam family "Bacterial small subunit ribosomal RNA", at positions 29 to 523 of the family's 1533-position model. The record is from RNAcentral.